GGCGUCAUUGGCAUCCUCUAACUUUGGAAUACCUAGAAAUUAACACAAAUAUAUUUUUUUUAUCAUCAUAUUUGAAGAGUUUCGAAUCUUGAAGCCCUUUAUUUGCAUCUACCUUGGAGUUUACGUUGUUUGGUUUUAGGUCCAAGUUUCUGCAGCUGAGUAUCAGCUUUAAACUUUGCCCAAGAUAACACUGCCUCAACGAUACCAAUCUUUGUGACCUGUAAUUUCAUCGCCAAAAUUUAUGAUUCCAAUUUAUUCAUUUCGGUAUCCAUGAGCUGUUUCACAAUGGCAUCGGUGACAUGAUCCACAUGUCGACCUCCCUGUUAAUACAACGACUUUUUGUAUUCAUUCGAAGCGGUUUCAACGGUGAAUCGGUGACUGAAAAUAUUGCACAAUUUGGCACCAUAGCCGUUCCUACCUCCGGUCACCUUCUCUUCUUUGUCAUCAUAGUUUGAGGAUGUCAGAAGGUGUCCAAAGAUCAUUGUAGGUACAAACAUUUUUUCCUCUUUAUGAAUUACCACUGGAAUUCCCUGGCCAUUGUUCCAUACUGAUAUCGUGUUGUUGUCA
This 567-nucleotide unclassified non-coding RNA is filed under the name Athalia rosae (coleseed sawfly). Its description in RNAcentral is "misc RNA ENSAEAG00005012509.1". Lineage: Eukaryota; Metazoa; Arthropoda; Insecta; Hymenoptera; Athaliidae. The record is from RNAcentral.